Non-coding RNA from Capra hircus (goat), 378 nucleotides. The record is from the annotation of a RefSeq genome assembly. NCBI's taxonomy places the organism in Eukaryota, Metazoa, Chordata, Mammalia, Artiodactyla, Bovidae.
AUGAGGCUGGUGAUUGGAGUAACUGUUUUUCUGUCCUUGGGGACUGUGAUUGAUGCUAAGACCACUCAGCCCAGCUCCAUGGAUUGUGCUGAAGAGGAUGUAACCUUGUCUUGUAGCCACUCUACCAUUGGUGGAAAUGACUAUAUACAUUGGUAUCGGCAAAAUCCCAAUCAGAGCCCACAGUAUGUCAUUCAUGGCUUACGAAGCACAGUGAACAGCAGCAUGGCCUCUCUGACCAUAGAUUCAGACAGAAAGUCCAGCACCUUGGUCCUGCCCCAGGUCACCCUGAGAGACGCCGCUAUGUACUACUGCAUCCUGAGAGAGGCACACUGGGACAGAUGGGGCUGCAGCUGUGCAGCAUCUCUGGUGCGAAGAUGA